This 201-nucleotide microRNA precursor is filed under the name Oryza sativa Indica Group (long-grained rice). RNAcentral's name for it is "MIR812 microRNA precursor family". It matches the Rfam family "MIR812 microRNA precursor family". The record is from Rfam by way of RNAcentral. Lineage: Eukaryota; Viridiplantae; Streptophyta; Magnoliopsida; Poales; Poaceae.
UAUAAGGAUUUUGAGUUUUUACAUGUAACGUUUGACCACUCGUCUUAUUCAAAUUUUUUUGAAAUUAUUAUUUAUUUUAUUUGUGACUUACUUUAUUAUCUACAAUACUUUAAGCACAACUUUUUGUUUUUUAUAUUUGCAAAAAAAAUUGAAUAAGACGAGUGGUCAAACGUUACAAUCAAAAACUCAAAAUCCCUUAUA